UACGAAGGUGGCGAGCGUUGUUCGGAAUCACUGGGCUUAAAGCGCAUGUAGGCGGCUUGGCAAGCGUCAAGUGAAAUCCCUCGGCUCAACCGAGGAACUGCUUGGCGAACUGCCCGGCUUGAGGCAAGUAGGGGUGCGUGGAACUCUUGGUGGAGCGGUGAAAUGCGUAGAUAUCAAGAGGAACGCCGGAGGCGAAAGCGGCGCACUGGGCUUGUCCUGACGCUGAGAUGCGAAGGCUAGGGGAGCGAACGGGAUUAGAUACCCCCGUA
RNAcentral lists this ribosomal RNA (269 nucleotides) under uncultured prokaryote. RNAcentral describes it as "partial 16S ribosomal RNA". It matches the Rfam family "Bacterial small subunit ribosomal RNA", at positions 524 to 792 of the family's 1533-position model. The record is from RNAcentral.